AACUAGAGCUUGGGAGGGGGCGGCCCGCGGGCUGUAAAGACAUCCUAUGAGCUGGACUUUUAACUGACUUAGAAGAUGAGUAGCAAAAUUUGGCACCUUUCAAAUUUUGAUCAGAUACUUAGGUCUCUUUACAAACAGGUUCACGUUUUUAUAGAUCGGAUUUUAUUUGUGAGUCUUAACAAAACUAAGAUGGUAUCUCGGCUUGUAACUGUUUGAAUUUCCUCUAUUUAGCUUUCGCCAGUCAAAACAAGUGGUGGAUCCCUGGUCCGUAACUACUUACUGAGCAACUGUUGAAUCAAUGUUUUGCUUUCUUUUCAGCAGGUCGGCUGACUAACGUCCAAGCGGCCUUCACUUGCCAUUCAUCUUGAAAGUGGAGCGAGGAGAAACUCAGACUGAAGUCAGACCUACAAAGGACCCAGCGUUUCCUUUGAAGCAUGGGACCCUCACAGAGGGAGCUGGCAAAAGAUAGAUUAAGCAAGGAGAACAAGCAAGAAUGGUCUUUCUGCCCAAGUGGAGCAGUGCUGGGGACCAGGCAAGCAGCUCAGUGCUGAGACCGUUCUGCUGCCAAUGGUCCCCCACAAGUAGCAGAUAGAUGGGCCGUGGAGCAGCUUGAGGUCUCCUGAACUACUAGGAAGUGCUUAUCUUGAAGUGUUUAUCUUGAAAUAGCAUCAGUCCUACUUCCUACCAGUGUCUAGUAUUCCCAAGCCAUCCUAAGACUCAAAGUGUAGAAGGAAACAAAAACAAAAAACUUCUUUAGAGUCUCUGCCACUAUGCAGUGCUUGUCACAGCUGGCCCUCGCUCACUCUUCAGCACAGCCUACAAGGUAAGAAAUACCAUCCUCAUGUUUCAGAGAAGGCAACUGACCCUCAGAAAGGUUAAAUAAUUUCCCAGAAGUUACACAGAAGAGAGACACAAAACUGAAACUCAAACACGGAUCUUCCCAAAUUAAAGCCACGUUUUGUUUACUGACUGCUAUCCCAUCCGAUUCAGGCUUCCAAAGUUACUUGGUAAGAUCAUCCACAGUAGAGUGGCGGACUCCGACAGGCGGCCAGAGAGCUGAAGAAGGCUUAAAGAAUCAGGUGCUGUUCCUGACAGGGAUGGGAGAGGCCCCUAAGGCAGCCCCAUGCGCACAGCUCCUCUGGAGUCUGUAUGUUUUGAUUUCUGCAAGCAUGUGCCAAGACUUCCAACAACAUGGUAGAACUGAACUGUAUGUCUUGUGUGGGGAUAUAUCUUGCCUUAAACAAGGCAUGCAGUGGCAAGUGCCUCUUCUGGAUAAAAGACUGAAAAGCCAGCACAGAUUGUUCCAUCUGGACAACUUGCAGCAGUGACGCAGGAGACCAUGUUGAAACUGAACCUCCAUCACCCUGAGUCCUCCAGUUUCUUGCUGGAUCACAGUGGACACUCAGCGGGAGCAGAAAAUCCGAGCUAUCUGGGGUACUUUGUUACUGUACCAUAACUUCAUCUCACUGACAGAUACAAAUCAAAUAGUAGGCCUAUUUCUGGAUAGAAAACACAGGAAAUCAUUCAGAAAAUAAAUAGAUUGAAUGAAGAAUAUCUA
This is a long non-coding RNA of Grammomys surdaster, 1558 nucleotides long. RefSeq lists it as uncharacterized. The record is from RefSeq and is a predicted model, not a curated record. Lineage: Eukaryota; Metazoa; Chordata; Mammalia; Rodentia; Muridae. The transcript has 2 exons.